AUACCUUUCUCGGCCUUUUGGCUAAGAUCAAGUGUAGUAUCUGUUCUUAUCAGUUUAAUAUCUGAUAUGUGGCCCAAUGGGUCACACGAUAUUAAAUUAUUUUUUUGAGGGGGAGAAGCCACUCCAAUAGCUUGCUAUUGGGCUUCUUGAGUGUCGCCUAUGUGUUGCACUAUUGCAUGGGCUGGCGCACCCCAC
This is a small nuclear RNA of Medicago truncatula (barrel medic), 195 nucleotides long. It matches the Rfam family "U2 spliceosomal RNA". From Rfam's summary of the family: U2 is a small nuclear RNA (snRNA) component of the spliceosome (involved in pre-mRNA splicing). Complementary binding between U2 snRNA (in an area lying towards the 5' end but 3' to hairpin I) and the branchpoint sequence (BPS) of the intron results the bulging out of an unpaired adenosine, on the BPS, which initiates a nucleophilic attack at the intronic 5' splice site, thus starting the first of two transesterification reactions that mediate splicing. The record is from Rfam. Lineage: Eukaryota; Viridiplantae; Streptophyta; Magnoliopsida; Fabales; Fabaceae.